GACGGGGGGGGCAAGUGUUCUUCGGAAUGACUGGGCGUAAAGGGCACGUAGGCGGUGAAUCGGGUUGAAAGUGAAAGUCGCCAAAAACUGGCGGAAUGCUCUCGAAACCAAUUCACUUGGGUGAGACAGAGGAGAGUGGAAUUUCGUGUGUAGGGGUGAAAUCCGCAAAUCUACGAAGGAAGGCCAAAAGCGAAGGCAGCUCUCUGGGUCCCUACCGACGCUGGGGUGCAAAAGCAUGGGGAGCGAACAGG
Molecule: ribosomal RNA, 251 nt
Filed under: uncultured bacterium
Lineage: Bacteria
Description: partial 16S ribosomal RNA
Rfam family: Bacterial small subunit ribosomal RNA
Source: RNAcentral